RNAcentral lists this long non-coding RNA (225 nucleotides) under Vigna radiata. RNAcentral's name for it is "long non-coding RNA (VRAD_LNC010673)". Lineage: Eukaryota; Viridiplantae; Streptophyta; Magnoliopsida; Fabales; Fabaceae. The record is from RNAcentral.
UUUUAAGUUGCUUAGGAAUGAUAAAAUAUUCAAUUACUUAACUAUAUUAUAGCCCAUUAAAUGUGAUAAUAAAUGAAAUAAAUAUGUAUAUUUAAUGUUAUUUGGCAGUCAACUUUAUUUAUGGUAUGUUAAUUUUGAUGUAAAUGUAUAAAAUUUAAAUACAGUUGAACAAAAAUAUUAAAUGCAUAAUUUAAUCUUUCUUUCAGUUUUAUACUUAUAUUAAUU